UUUAAAGUCUAAUCUGCCCUAUGAGGUAUUAAAUGGCCGCGGUACUUUGACCGUGCAAAGGUAGCAUAAUAAUUAGUUUUUUAAUUGGAAGCUGGAAUGAAUGAUUGGACGAGAAAAUAGCUGUCUCAAUUUGAUUUUAUUAGAAUUUUAUUUUUAAGUAAGAAAGCUUAAAUUUGAUUAAAAGACGAGAAGACCCUAUAGAGUUUUAUAUUUUAUUAAUUAUUGAUUUUUAAGUCUUAUUUUAUUAAUAAUUGAUUAAUUAUUUUGUUGGGGCGAUAGAGAAAUAAAUUUAACUUUCUUUUUAUUUUAACAUUAAUGUAUGAUUUUUUGAUCCAUAUUUUAUGAUUAUAAGAUUAAGUUACCUUAGGGAUAACAGCGUAAUUUUUUUUUAGAGUUCUUAUCGAAAAGAAAGGUUGCGACCUCGAUGUUGGAUUAAAAUUAAUGCUUGGUGUAGGAGCUAGGUAAUUGGGUCUGUUCGACCUUUAAAAUUUUACA
This 495-nucleotide ribosomal RNA is filed under the name Maladera sp. DA3634. RNAcentral describes it as "partial 16S large subunit ribosomal RNA". It matches the Rfam family "Bacterial large subunit ribosomal RNA", at positions 1844 to 2600 of the family's 2925-position model. The record is from RNAcentral. Lineage: Eukaryota; Metazoa; Arthropoda; Insecta; Coleoptera; Scarabaeidae.